CUACGCCUACGGGAGGCAGCAGUGGGGAAUAUUGCACAAUGGGGGGAACCCUGAUGCAGCGACGCCGCGUGAGUGAAGAAGUAUUUCGGUAUGUAAAGCUCUGUCAGCAGGGAAGAAGAAAGACGGUACCUGACCAAGAAGCCCCGGCUAACUACGUGCCAGCAGCCGCGGUAAUACGUAGGGGGCAAGCGUUAUCCGGCUUUACUGGGUGUAAAGGAAGCGUAGACGGCAGGGCAAGUCUGGAGUGAAAGGCAGGGGCUCAACCCCUGGACUGCUCCGGAAACUGUCCGUCUGGAGUGCGGGAG
RNAcentral lists this ribosomal RNA (305 nucleotides) under uncultured bacterium. Its description in RNAcentral is "bacterial SSU rRNA". It matches the Rfam family "Bacterial small subunit ribosomal RNA", at positions 333 to 654 of the family's 1533-position model. The record is from RNAcentral.